Molecule: long non-coding RNA, 2305 nt
Organism: Brassica napus (rape)
Lineage: Eukaryota; Viridiplantae; Streptophyta; Magnoliopsida; Brassicales; Brassicaceae
Exons: 6
Source: RefSeq, a predicted model, not a curated record
UUAUUUACAUGAAAUUAAAUUUGAACAAUUAGAAAGAUUGUUUCGAUGAAAAUAUGACAUUUUAGUAUAGCUAUACUGUAAAAGAAAUACUAAGAUAAAUAUUACAUAAUUUAGGUAUUAUAAUUGGUUGACCAAAUAUAUCAGAUAAUAUUAUAAAAAAAGUUAACAAAUUACUUAUUUUAUUUUACUUUCAUUUUGUUUUAGCAGAUUCAAAAUGGCUUCAAGCAUAUUCAUACAUGCUUAUAUAUAUUACCCAUAAUAUUUAUUAUUAUAUAAAAUACUAUUAAAAAUUUGCCAAUCUUAAAAUGUUUUCAACAUCAUUUGAUGGUUAAAUAGAAAAAAAAAGAGAAAGAAAAAAAUGUUAGUGAAGAGCCUAACCUAUUAAUCAAAACAUGAGUAGCACAUGGGUUGAGGAUCUCUUGGUAAAUUGGAGUCCAUCUUCCUUAUACUCUUCAUUAACUCUCGUCGACUUUAUUCUAGACAUAACUCAUCUCUUUGUCCACCUAAGAACAUAAUUUCUUUGUAAGUUGAAGUCUCUUCAUUUCUUGUUAUCUUUUUAUCAACCUUUUUCUGAAACCGUAUCUUUCCAUCUCACUCAUCAUUUUAUUCCAAUCUGAAACACAGAGGAGAUGAAAUGGUGUUCCCAGCUUCUCGAUUUCAAUGGAGUCACUUUAGUUCGAGAAAGAGCCAUUCCCUCUACGAAAAAAGAAAACUAUUAAAAAAAAUUCAAAAAUGCCCAACGACAAAUAAUGUAUUGCUGAGAGUACAAUAAAAAUUCAUCACUUACUCAUUUGCUAAGCAAAAUAUGAAUUCGUCCGCACCACUAACCAAUGAUACCGAGCAGUUUCUACCACGUCAAAGCCUUUACUUCCAAACCUUUACAGUCCCAUUAAUUUGAAGAUCCAUCUUUCUUCAUAGAAAAAAGACGAAAGGAUCGGCUGUUCUAUUUAGUGGAAUAAAUUAAAUUGUUUGAAGAAGUUAAUAUAUAUAUAUAUGGAGCUGAUGUAAUGUAUGAGAAGAAGGCGGAGAUCAUGGCUGGAAACGGUUUUUCUUUCCUUUCGUUUUAUCAUCAUUUUUUUUUUCUCCUAUAUAACUGCGUAAUAAACCGUUUGUAUCAGAUUUCUUUUUAUUUUAACAUUUAUUAAAAAAAUUGAAUAAUUAACACGUGGCAUAAUUUAAUUGGUGAAGUGACUUGUGCUCUAGUAUAUAAAAGAUUGACUUACUGGGAUAUUUUUUAUUAUUCAGAAUGUCAAGUGCCAGCCCGAUAGAAAUACAGUUCUAUUGGCAAGAGGCGUUCUCUGGAACUACGGUUUUAUCUUCUUCGUCGAUUUGUCAGCUAGCCAACAAUGGUGAUACAACAUAUCCAGUUAGACGAAUCGUGGUGUAGAGACUCUUUGUGGUGCUUCCAUAGAGUCGUUUCGUCUUUAGUUUAUAUCCUGUGAAACGUUACGAGAUGUCUUGAUUCAUCGUCUUUAAUAAACAUCUUAACUCAAUCAACGCACAUCAAGAACGGAAUUUCAAUCAAUGAUACUUAUCCAUGUUCUAGGUGGUAAAUCCACCUAUAAAAAGAUAGUCAUCGUCUUCUCCAAAUCGAUUCAUCGCAGCCCUAGUACUCCAGCUGAAUCCAAGCGCCGUUAACUCAAGCGUCGUUGAAUCAACGUAUUCACUAAAAUCAGCUCUCCACUCUCACGAAUCACGAUCUCCAUUACUUCUUUAACCUCUUUUGUGCAAUAAGAAUGUCUAAGAUAGUUCACCAACAAAAUCACGUAAAGGUUUUAUUCCAACAGAAAAUGAUGCACAAGUAUGUCUACAUACACGAAAGCUACUGCGAUCAACAAGAGCUUGCAAAUAUUUCCAGGAGCUUCGAUUCAACCUUCUAAAAGAUGCUGUCAAGGAAGGUCUAUUGCAUUUCCAGAAAGGUAGCGUUUCCACAAGAAAUCUUAAUGACCAUCAACAUCGUCCAUGACUAGCAGAGGAGUAUAGUUCCAAUUCUAACGCAAAAAAAAAAAAAAAACUACUUCAAGAAGAAUAGUGUGCACACAGGUAGAAUAAUGUUUCUCUGAACCGUUCCUUCAAUUUUUUUUACUGAACAGCCAAUAGAUUCGAACUCACGAUUAGCAGGCAACACUAGAAAAACCAGAGUAGUAAAGAAGACACUAUGGUACAGCUUUUGGGUGAUCCAUUAUUUAAUUUUAUAAACAACCUUGCGCAUCUAACCGUACUACUCCGUAAUGUUAACACUGCUACUUCUUUAAGACAACCUGUCUCUCAUACAGAUUUCCAGUUACUACAAACGCUUUGGCUA